CCCGCCACUAACCCAGGGACC
RNAcentral lists this microRNA (21 nucleotides) under Ananas comosus (pineapple). RNAcentral's name for it is "microRNA s0114_c051". Lineage: Eukaryota; Viridiplantae; Streptophyta; Magnoliopsida; Poales; Bromeliaceae. The record is from RNAcentral.